This 90-nucleotide transfer RNA is filed under the name bacterium. RNAcentral's name for it is "tRNA-Ser". It matches the Rfam family "tRNA". Rfam says of the family: Transfer RNA (tRNA) molecules are approximately 80 nucleotides in length. Their secondary structure includes four short double-helical elements and three loops (D, anti-codon, and T loops). The record is from RNAcentral.
GGAGAGGUGCCUGAGUGGCUGAAAGGGGCACCCUGCUAAGGUGCUAGCCGGGAAACCGGCUCGAGGGUUCGAAUCCCUUCCUCUCCUCCA